GAUGAACGCUGGCGGCGUGCUUAACACAUGCAAGUCGAACGAAGAUGCCGGAGUGCUUGCACUUUGGCAGACUGAGUGGCGGACGGGUGAGUAACGCGUGGGUAACCUGCCUUAUACAGGGGGAUAACAGUUGGAAACGACUGCUAAUACCGCAUAAGCGCACGGUAUCGCAUGAUACAGUGUGAAAAACUCCGGUGGUAUAAGAUGGACCCGCGUCUGAUUAGCUUGUUGGUGAGGUAACGGCCCACCAAGGCGACGAUCAGUAGCCGGCCUGAGAGGGUGAACGGCCACAUUGGGACUGAGACACGGCCCAAAACUCCUACGGGAGCAGCAGUGGGGAAUAUUGCACAAUGGGGGAAACCCUGAUGCAGCGACGCCGCGUGAAGGAAGAAGUAUUUCGGUAUGUAAACUUCUAUCAGCAAGGAAGAAAAUGACGGUACUUGACUAAGAAGCCCCGGCUAAAUACGUGCCAGCAGCCGC
RNAcentral lists this ribosomal RNA (480 nucleotides) under uncultured bacterium. Its description in RNAcentral is "bacterial SSU rRNA". It matches the Rfam family "Bacterial small subunit ribosomal RNA", at positions 28 to 518 of the family's 1533-position model. The record is from RNAcentral.